Molecule: ribosomal RNA, 459 nt
Filed under: uncultured bacterium
Lineage: Bacteria
Description: SSU rRNA
Rfam family: Bacterial small subunit ribosomal RNA
Source: RNAcentral
AGAAUCAACGCUGGCGGCGUGCCUAACACAUGCAAGUCGCACGAGAAAGGGGCUUCGGCCCUGAGUACAGUGGCGCACGGGUGAGUAACACGUGAAUCAUCUACCUCCGAGUGGGGAAUAACUGAGAGAAAUCUUAGCUAAUACCGCAUAACACUUACGAGUCAAAGCAGCAAUGCGCUUGGAGAGGAGUUCGCGGCAGAUUAGUUAGUUGGCGGGGUAAUGGCCCACCAAGACGAUGAUCUGUAUCCGGCCUGAGAGGGCGCACGGACACACUGGAACUGAAACACGGUCCAGACUCCUACGGGAGGCAGCAGUGGGGAAUUUUGCGCAAUGGGGGAAACCCUGACGCAGCAACGCCGCGUGGAGGAUGAAAUCCCUUGGGAUGUAAACUCCUUUCGAUAGGGAAGAUAAUGACGGUACCUAUAGAAGAAGCCCGGCUAACUUCGCGCCAGCAGCCGC